ACCACGCUCGGGACCGCCCAUGCGCGGAAGCGCCCCAGGGCCUGGCCCCCGAGUGGCCCGCCCUACUCCAGGCCCCGCCCGUGGCUCCGCCCCCCGGGCCAGAGGCUUGGGGGACGCUCGGCGCUCCCGGCGCUCCCCGGUACCCCGACGCUCCGCGGCCCGCUGGCGUGUUCCAGGCGGCACGCUCCGUGGGAGUCCGCAGCCAGGGCCUGCUGUUCCCAGGGGACGCACUAGCUUUUGAGCAAGCUCCACUGAUCACCCGCACGCCUCUGCUUCACCCUCCCACACACCCUCCUGUGCACAGCCCAGAACUUAGAUGCCGUCGGACUGUGGGUAGAGGCUUCCCCCGGGCUCCAUACCGGCUUCCCCGCAGAAGGCUGUCUGCGCCUGCGCACUUGGAAGGCAGGCUAGCGGGCUGGGCCCUUUCGCGAACACGACUUUACUGCGCCUGCGUGGGGCUGAGCAGGAAGUACUAGAGCUCCGCCGCUUCGGGCUGUGGCCUGGCUUUUGUUUAGGCCUCUCUACGCUGAUUUAUUUCUUCGGCCCUCGCAGAACAGGAUGUCAGAGCAUAGACCUUUACCUGGAAUCUCCUCUUCCUCAACAGAUGUGGACUUUCCCUUGGCCACUCAAGAGAUGAAAUUCAAACCGUUUUUAAAUUCAGAGUCCUUGACCUUUAUAGCCUGGCCCCAUCCAAGCUUUUCAAGAUUGUCUCACACUGGAACGCUGGUAGCGGCUCUGUAAAGACUCUCCUGCCUCUGUUGAUCUAAGACCUAAAGCUGAAAAGUAAUGGGGAGAAGUGGGCCUCGCUCUUUUCAGAUGGAUCCCCAAGGCUUUCAAAGGACCAUCAGGAGGAAGAGGAUGAGACAAGCUUUCCGUAAGACCCAUUCUCCAAACCCACCCCACCAGGGAGAAGAGCUGCAUGAUACUUUGACACACAAUUGUGAGACUCCCACAGCUUUCUGAGAAGGCCUGUAUCAGCUGAAUGUGACAGACCAAAGGCCACAGGGAUGACUCCAAAUGAAGCGGCCAGGCUCUAGGGAACAGGACCCCUCGUGGAGCCCUGUCUCCAGCUUCUUCUCUUACCUGCACUGCCCAGAUUCUAGCUCACCCACAGCCUUGAUCCAGGCCUGGCCAUGAUCUUUGUGCUCUGGGGAAGCUGAGGCACGACGGGCUUGCUGAAGACCAACAGAGACCCGUAUUCAUUUCUGAUGGUUGGCUAGCUCAGUCCACAACCUCCAGGACUGCCUUUCUAAGUACUGUGGCAUGUGGGGUAACCCCAAAGUACUCAACACCGUCGGUCCAAAGCCAACCUCAUCAUCUCACCUCAAAAACCUGGUUCUUCCUCCUCCAGUGUCCGCUCGCCACCCAUCUUCCCCACCACCCGAACUAGAAACCUUGAAAUCAUCAUCAACAUCUUCCUUUCUCUCACUCCCCACUGUCCACUAACAUGACACACAUUCACCAAGCACCCACCCUGUGCAGGCUCCACUCUGGCCAUAGAGGCUAUGGCCGGGAGUAAGCAAAGCUCCUGCUCCCCCAGAAGUGGACAUCCUAGCUACACGGGGCAGGGACACAACCAUAUACAAUGAUAGGAAUGCUGAGGAAGAGACACAGGGUGACAUAACAGAACCUGAAGUGAGGCUGGAGAGCUGAGUUUAGAUGUGGCCAUGGGAAGCUCAUCAUGUAAAGAUCUGGGCCAAAGCAUUCCAAAUAAAGUCAAGAGCUGGAGCACA
Canis lupus familiaris (dog) is the source of this 1733-nucleotide long non-coding RNA. RefSeq lists it as uncharacterized. The record is from RefSeq and is a predicted model, not a curated record. NCBI's taxonomy places the organism in Eukaryota, Metazoa, Chordata, Mammalia, Carnivora, Canidae. The transcript is spliced from 2 exons.